AGAUUUAGUGGGCCAUUCCAUCCAGCGAGUAAAGCUUUACCCGUGACAUUAUCCAAGUGUGGGAACCGCCACAGCGAUCGUUGGGUGAUAUCCGCAGCCAGGACUGCUUCUGUUUUGGUGCAACGACUAAGUCGUAAUGGCCGGCCCUGCCGGUAAAGAGAUAGUCUCAAUCUCGUGGGGAGACCCAUGACAGCUUUUGCAUUAAAUCAGUUAUCGUUUAUUUGAUAAUACCUUACCACUUGGAUAACUGUGGUAAUUCUAGAGCUAAUACAUGCUAAAAACCCCGACUUCGGAAGGGGUGUAUUUAUUAGAUAAAAAACCAAUGCCCUUCGGGGCUCCUUGGUGAUUCAUAAUAACUUAACGAAUCGCAUGGCCUUGCGCCGGCGAUGGUUCAUUCAAAUUUCUGCCCUAUCAACUUUCGAUGGUAGGAUAGUGGCCUACCAUGGUCUUAACGGGUAACGGGGAAUUAGGGUUCGAUUCCGGAGAGGGAGCCUGAGAAACGGCUACCACAUCCAAGGAAGGCAGCAGGCGCGCAAAUUACCCAAUCCCAAUCCGGGGAGGUAGUGACAAUAAAUACUGAUACAGGGCUCUUUCGGGUCUUGUAAUUGAAAUGAGAAAAAUCUAAAUCCCUUAACGAGGAACAAUUGGAGGGCAAGUCUGGUGCCAGCAGCCGCGGUAAUUCCAGCUCCAAUAGCGUAUAUUAAAGUUGUUGCAGUUAAAAAG
RNAcentral lists this ribosomal RNA (723 nucleotides) under Chaetothyriales sp. A548. RNAcentral's name for it is "SSU rRNA". The stretch from base 138 to 723 matches the Rfam family "Eukaryotic small subunit ribosomal RNA", at positions 1 to 626 of the family's 1831-position model. Lineage: Eukaryota; Fungi; Ascomycota; Eurotiomycetes; Chaetothyriales. The record is from RNAcentral.